This 906-nucleotide long non-coding RNA is filed under the name Prunus dulcis (almond). Lineage: Eukaryota; Viridiplantae; Streptophyta; Magnoliopsida; Rosales; Rosaceae. The record is from RNAcentral.
CUUGAAUUAUAGGGCAACAAAAAUGUUUUCUCUCAACAAUUUCAUGCCGGAAACGGCGUCGUCUAUGUUCUCAGCCUAUGCCUCCUUUGCAACCUUCAUGAUGAUCUUCCGUUCCAUGGCCAACGACUUCAUCCCGGACCCUCUCCGCACCUAUAUUUCCUCCUCCCUCAGUUACCUUUUUAGCCCUCUCUCCGGCCUCUUCUCUUUUUACCUCACUCUCGCCUUCUACGAGUACUCCGACAUGUCCCGCAACCAAGUCUACGAUGCCGCCGCGGUCUACCUCGAGAAAAAGAUCGGCCCCGCCACGCAGCGUCUCCGCAUCAGCAAAACGCCCCGGAAGAAGUCCAUGGGCGUCGCCAUCGACAGAGACGAGGAAGUCAUCGACACGUUCGACAACAUCAAGCUCAAGUGGCUGCUAGUCACCGAAACAAAGACCGGGAACAACAACAGGCUGCGCUACUUUGAGCUGUCGUUCCGCAAGAAACACAAGGAAAGAGUGAUGGGCAGCUACUUGCCCCACGUGCUUGCCCAGGCAACCGCCAUGAAGCAAGAAGAAAAGGUUCUCAAGAUUUAUAAACGUCAUAUCUUGUCAUGGGAGGACGUCGUUGAGGAUGGCAACACUGAAUGGGGAUCCAUAAACAUGGAGCACCGGGCUACGUUUGAGACAAUGGCGCUGGAGCCAGAUCUCAAGAAAACCAUUGUAGAGGAUUUGGAGAGGUUUGUGAGUAGGAGGGAGUUUUACAAGAAGGUGGGCAAGGCUUGGAAAAGAGGCUACUUGUUGUAUGGCCCGGCCGGCACCGAAAAAUCCAGCCUGAUUGCGGCCAUGGCUAAUUUUCUCAAGUUUGAUGUGUUUGAUUUGGAGCUUGCUAGCAUUCGCAGCGACUCUCAUUUGAAGAGGGUUUUGUU